This is a non-coding RNA of Acanthosepion pharaonis, 112 nucleotides long. The record is from the annotation of a GenBank genome assembly. Lineage: Eukaryota; Metazoa; Mollusca; Cephalopoda; Sepiida; Sepiidae.
UAUGGCCAAAUCACAUUGAAACACUGGUUCCCAUAUGCUCACCGAAGUUAAGCAAUGUUGAGCCUGGUCAGUACCUAGAUGGUGACCUUUUGGGAAUACCAGGUGCUGUAAG